ACAAACUUGGUCAUUUAGAGGAAGUAAAAGUCGUAACAAGGUUUCCGUAGGUGAACCUGCGGAAGGAUCAUUGAAGAUUUAACAAUCCUACUCACCUCGUGUGCAGCCUUUACCAAGUCUGAUAUCCUUGGAGAGGUCAUCAUUAGUGAACUCUCCAAGGAGGUUAUCAUGAUCAAUGUAUUAUCUUUUCUUUUCUAUGUCUAUCUAAAUCAAUAAAUGUAAUUAAAAACAACUUUCAACAACGGAUCUCUUGGCUCUCGCAUCGAUGAAGAACGCAGC
Molecule: unclassified non-coding RNA, 279 nt
Filed under: uncultured fungus
Lineage: Eukaryota; Fungi
Description: partial contains small subunit ribosomal RNA, internal transcribed spacer 1, and 5.8S ribosomal RNA
Rfam family: Eukaryotic small subunit ribosomal RNA (bases 1-73)
Source: RNAcentral